CGGUGCGCAUGCGCCGUGACGCGGCGCGUUCCGCCGCGCAGCGCCUCCCCCGGGCUUGAGACAGUCUGUCAGCUAUCUUGGAACGUGGCUUUGAAGACCAAGACCAUGCAUACUUCCAUACUGCAGAGAACACGUGUUUGACCAACGUAUGAACCACCACGAGAGAUGCUGGCACAGACACGUUGUCUUGGUAUGCUGUAUUUCUGGAUCUAAGAUCAAUCUGAGAGAACAGAUUCCCUGCUCAUGGGUAUGGUAAAUUUAACAGCAGGGAGGAAUAAUGGCCUUCUGAAGAUUGCCAAUGAGCAAAGAAUCACUGUAAGGUGAUCAUCAGUGCAGCAGGAGGAAGCAGAAGGCUUCGUUACGUGCCAGAAAGAAUAAAGGGUGUGCUGUAAACAGUAUCUACG
Long non-coding RNA from Gallus gallus (chicken), 404 nucleotides. The record is from Ensembl. Lineage: Eukaryota; Metazoa; Chordata; Aves; Galliformes; Phasianidae.